CCUACGGGAGGCAGCAGUGAGGAAUAUUGGUCAAUGGACGAGAGUCUGAACCAGCCAAGUAGCGUGAAGGAUGACUGCCCUAUGGGUUGUAAACUUCUUUUAUCAAGGAAUAAAACGAGGCACGCGUGCCUUUUUGCAUGUACUUUAUGAAUAAGGAUCGGCUAACUCCGUGCCAGCAGCCGCGGUAAUACGGAGGAUCCGAGCGUUAUCCGGAUUUUUUGGGUUUAAAGGGAGCCUAGAUGGGUUGUUAAGUCAGUUGUGAAAGUUUGCGGCUCAACCGUAAAAUUGCAAUUGAUACUGGCAGUCUUGAGUACAGUUGAGGUAGGCGGAAUUCGUGGUGUAGCGGUGAAAUGCUUAGAUAUCACGAAGAACCCCGAUUGCGAAGGCAGCUUACUAAACUGUGACUGACAUUGAUGCUCGAAAGUGUGGGUAUCAAACAGGAUUAGAUACCCUUGUAGUC
RNAcentral lists this ribosomal RNA (460 nucleotides) under uncultured bacterium. Its description in RNAcentral is "partial 16S ribosomal RNA". It matches the Rfam family "Bacterial small subunit ribosomal RNA", at positions 338 to 795 of the family's 1533-position model. The record is from RNAcentral.